CCUGCUAUUUUGUUUCCCUGGUCGAGAAAUUUGUUGAGAGGUAGCUUCAGCUUGUUUCUUCAGAGGGCGGUUAACUAAUAGAUUAGCUUCUUUGUCUUCUCUAGGCUUAGCUUGUUUCUUCACCGGGAAGUUGGCCUUUCUGGCUGCUUUCUCUUCUCCAGGUCUAUCUUGUUUCUUCACAAGGUGGUCAUCUGAUGGACUAACCUCUCUGACAGAGCAUGCCACCUUCUGCCUUCUCUCUUCUGCUUUUCC
Molecule: long non-coding RNA, 252 nt
Filed under: Hordeum vulgare
Lineage: Eukaryota; Viridiplantae; Streptophyta; Magnoliopsida; Poales; Poaceae
Description: long non-coding RNA (HVUL_LNC018047)
Source: RNAcentral